CCGGAUUUAUUGGGCGUAAAGAGCGUGUAGGCGGCUUGGUAGGUCCGCUGUGAAAACUCGAGGCUCAACCUCGAGAUGUCGGCGGAAACCACUUGGCUAGAGUCCGGAAGAGGAGAGUGGAAUUCCUGGUGUAGCGGUGAAAUGCGCAGAUAUCAGGAAGAACACCUAUGGCGAAGGCAGCUCUCUGGGACGGUACUGACGCUGAGACGCGAAAGCGUGGGGAGCGAACAGG
This 232-nucleotide ribosomal RNA is filed under the name uncultured bacterium. RNAcentral describes it as "partial 16S ribosomal RNA". It matches the Rfam family "Bacterial small subunit ribosomal RNA", at positions 545 to 776 of the family's 1533-position model. The record is from RNAcentral.